RNAcentral lists this ribosomal RNA (253 nucleotides) under uncultured bacterium. RNAcentral's name for it is "partial 16S ribosomal RNA". It matches the Rfam family "Bacterial small subunit ribosomal RNA", at positions 524 to 776 of the family's 1533-position model. The record is from RNAcentral.
UACGUAGGGUGCAAGCGUUAAUCGGAAUUACUGGGCGUAAAGCGUGCGCAGGCGGUUGUGUAAGACAGAUGUGAAAUCCCCGGGCUUAACCUGGGAACUGCAUUUGUGACUGCAUCGCUGGAGUGCGGCAGAGGGGGAUGGAAUUCCGCGUGUAGCAGUGAAAUGCGUAGAUAUGCGGAGGAACACCGAUGGCGAAGGCAAUCCCCUGGGCCUGCACUGACGCUCAUGCACGAAAGCGUGGGGAGCAAACAGG